CCUACGGGAGGCAGCAGUGGGGAAUAUUGGGCAAUGGGCGCAAGCCUGACCCAGCAAUGCCGCGUGAAGGAAGAAGGCUUUCGGGUUGUAAACUUCUUUGACAGGGGAAGAGCAGAAGACGGUACCCUGAAAACAAGCCACGGCUAACUACGUGCCAGCAGCCGCGGUAAUACGUAGGUGGCAAGCGUUGUCCGGAUUUACUGGGUGUAAAGGGCGUGUAGCCGGGAAGGCAAGUCAGAUGUGAAAUCUGGAGGCUCAACCUCCAAAUUGCAUUUGAAACUGUUUUUCUUGAGUACUGGAGAGGCAGACGACAUUCCGUUUUUCGCGGUUAAAUGCCUAGAUCUCAGG
This 348-nucleotide ribosomal RNA is filed under the name uncultured bacterium. RNAcentral describes it as "partial 16S ribosomal RNA". It matches the Rfam family "Bacterial small subunit ribosomal RNA", at positions 338 to 701 of the family's 1533-position model. The record is from RNAcentral.